GCUACUUCCAGAGAUGGAAGGCUCCUUCGGGGACGCGGUGACAGGUGCUGCAUGGCUGUCGUCAGCUCGUGUCGUGAGAUGUUGGGUUAAGUCCCGCAACGAGCGCAACCCUCGUCCUUAGUUGCCAUCAUUUAGUUGGGCACUCUAAGGAAACCGCCGGUGAUAAGCUGGAGGAAGGUGGGGAUGACGUCAAGUCCUCAUGGCCCUUACAGGCUGGGCUACACACGUGCUACAAUGGCGGUGACAGUGGGCAGCCACUCCGCGAGGAGGAGCUAAUCCCAAAAAGCCGUCUCAGUUCGGAUUGUUCUCUGCAACUCGAGAGCAUGAAGGCGGAAUCGCUAGUAAUCGCGGAUCAGCAUGCCGCGGUGAAUACGUUCCCAGGCCUU
Molecule: ribosomal RNA, 386 nt
Filed under: uncultured Novosphingobium sp.
Lineage: Bacteria; Pseudomonadati; Pseudomonadota; Alphaproteobacteria; Sphingomonadales; Sphingomonadaceae
Description: bacterial SSU rRNA
Rfam family: Bacterial small subunit ribosomal RNA
Source: RNAcentral